RNAcentral lists this ribosomal RNA (235 nucleotides) under uncultured bacterium. RNAcentral's name for it is "partial 16S ribosomal RNA". It matches the Rfam family "Bacterial small subunit ribosomal RNA", at positions 82 to 334 of the family's 1533-position model. The record is from RNAcentral.
UCUUCGGAUGGGAGUGGCAGACGGGUGAGUAACACGUGGGAACGUACCCUUCGGUUCGGAACAACUCUGGGAAACUGGAGCUAAUACCGGAUACGCCCUUUUGGGGAAAGGUUUACUGCCGAAGGAUCGGCCCGCGUCUGAUUAGCUAGUUGGUGGGGUAACGGCCUACCAAGGCGACGAUCAGUAGCUGGUCUGAGAGGAUGAUCAGCCACAUUGGGACUGAGACACGGCCCAA